GCCCGCCUAGCUCAAUCGGAUAGAGCGUCAGACUCUUAUGAUGUCAUUCAUGAGUUUGUCAAUCUGAAGGCUGCGAGUUCGACCCUCGCGGUGGGCU
Armillaria borealis is the source of this 97-nucleotide non-coding RNA. NCBI's taxonomy places the organism in Eukaryota, Fungi, Basidiomycota, Agaricomycetes, Agaricales, Physalacriaceae. The record is from the annotation of a GenBank genome assembly.